CCGGCGACCGGCGGACGGGUGCGUAACGCGUAUGUAACCUACCUUUGACAGGGGGAUAACAUCGAGAAAUUGGUACUAAUACCCCAUAGCAUCACCGGAGGCAUCUUCGGUGGUUGAAAACUCAGGUGGUCAGAGAUGGACAUGCGUUGUAUUAGCUAGUUGGUGAGGUAACGGCUCACCAAGGCGACGAUACAUAGGGGGACUGAGAGGUCAACCCCCCACAUUGGUACUGAGACACGGACCAAACUCCUACGGAAGGCAGCAG
RNAcentral lists this ribosomal RNA (265 nucleotides) under uncultured bacterium. RNAcentral's name for it is "partial 16S ribosomal RNA". It matches the Rfam family "Bacterial small subunit ribosomal RNA", at positions 88 to 354 of the family's 1533-position model. The record is from RNAcentral.